GCCUCAGAGGUCAGAAGGAUUUCCUGUGGGGUCACAUUCCUCAGCAGAGCUAUGGGGCGGGGGGUGGGGGGUCCUGGGCUGGCCUCUGCCCUCCCACCUCUAAGAAGAAGGAUGGGCUGAUGCUGGAGCAGGAAGCAGUGCGAGGCAGGCCCAGGCAGGCAGAAAGGGGCUCUGAGGGCCCCACCCCCACCAUCCAGAGGGCUUGGUUCUGCGAACCCCCUCGACCCCCUUCACCCCCGGAGCAGGAGACGCUGCCUUGUGCUCGCGUGUGGGGUGGUGGGAUGCAGUGAGGAGGGGGACUGCUGACAGAGGGGACGUGCCCCGUGGGGUUGAGCUUCGGCUAAAUGCAGCUGGCUUGACAAGGAAUCCUCAGAUAAACCAUUGCCUUAAAGGUCUGCUUUUCAUUAAUAAUCUGUUUUUAUGGAGGAGGAAACCCAUCCGCCCCCCCCCCCCACCCCGCUUCAGAGUAGAGAGAAAGAAAGUACAAUUGUGUUGCUAAAGGGGGAAAUGGAUUUGGAUCUCCCCCUAGCUUUCUGACAGCUCCUUGGGGGUUGCCCAGAGUUUGGGAGUGGAACAGAACUCCCCCUGAGGCCAGGCCAUAUCUGUGCAGUAAAGGGCAAGAUAUCAGGGAGAUGGUGGGAAAUGGGGAUGGGUAAGAGGUUCAACCCUGAAGGUCUACUGUGGUGUCUUCUGGGAUUUGGGGUGGGCCUCACCAUCCCCAGCAUGCCUCUGGGCACCAGUUUUACAGGGCUGCUCUGUCAAGCUGCACAGGUUGUGCACUGUACAACCCUAGGGGCACCAUUUACACGGACCCCAAUGUGAACAGAGCCCCUGGAGUUGUGCCACUCAGGAAGCUCUGUCAGAAGCCUUUACACAUGCUUGUCCCUCUGCGUAGAAUGUCAUUCUGGCAAGAUCUGGCUUAGAUCUCAGCUCCCCUCAGAGUUCUUAGUGCCUCCUUCCUGCGUACCCACCACCCCCACACAUGCCUCUGUUCUACAUUUACUGCACGGAAUUGCAGCGAUCUGCCUCAGUGUCUGUCUUCUCCACUCUUCCUCCCUGCCGCCUUCCUAACACAGUGCCUGGGCUGUCGAGGCACCGGUCACUCAGGGGCGUGAACGAGAACGUGAUGGACGGGCCGGGGCAGCGAGCUCCCCCUCAGUACUGGAGAUGGGGCAGGCUUCUAGGAACGAAACAGUGCUCCCUGUUCUGA
Molecule: long non-coding RNA, 1210 nt
Filed under: Felis catus (domestic cat)
Lineage: Eukaryota; Metazoa; Chordata; Mammalia; Carnivora; Felidae
Description: lncRNA (ENSFCAG00000047610.1)
Source: RNAcentral